RNAcentral lists this transfer RNA (74 nucleotides) under Candidatus Kerfeldbacteria bacterium. RNAcentral describes it as "tRNA-Gly". It matches the Rfam family "tRNA". Rfam says of the family: Transfer RNA (tRNA) molecules are approximately 80 nucleotides in length. The record is from RNAcentral. Lineage: Bacteria; Candidatus Kerfeldiibacteriota.
GCGGGCGUCGUAUAAUGGUAAUACCUCUGCUUUCCAAGCAGAUGCCAGGAGUUCGAUUCUCCUCACCCGCUCAA